AGAGUUUGAUCCUGGCUCAGAACGAACGCUGGCGGCGCGCUUAAUACAUGCAAGUCGAGCGAGAAAGUACCCUUCGGGGUGCGAGUAAAGCGGCGAACGGGUGAGUAACACGUAAGCAAUCUGCCUCUAAGUCUGGGAUAGCCUUGCCAACGCGGGGAUAAUACCGGAUGUUAUUUCGAGAUCGCAUGGUUUUUUGAAAUCAAAGGUGACCUCUCCUUGAAAGUUAUCGCUUAGAGAUGAGCUUGCGGACCAUUAGCUUGUUGGUGGGGUAACGGCCUACCAAGGCUGCGAUGGUUAGCCGACCUGAGAGGGUGAUCGGCCACAUUGGGACUGAGAUACGGCCCAGACUCCUACGGGAGGCAGCAGUAGGGAAUUUUGCGCAAUGGACGAAAGUCUGACGCAGCGACGCCGCGUGAGCGAUGAAGGCCUUCGGGUCGUAAAGCUCUGUUGAGUGGGAAGAAAAAUUCUAUGGCUAAUAUCCAUAGGACAUGACGGUACCAUUCGAGGAAGCCCCGGCUAACUACGUGCCAGCAGCCGCGGUAAUACGUAGGGGGCAAGCGUUGUUCGGAAUCACUGGGCGUAAAGGGAGUGUAGGCGGAACGGUAAGUUAGAAGUUAAAUACACGGGCUUAACCCGUGGCCUGCUUUUAAUACUGCCAUUCUUGAAUAUGGGAGAGGGUAAUGGAAUUCCAGGUGUAGUGGUGGAAUGUGUAGAUAUCUGGAAGAGCACCAGUUGCGAAGGCGGUUACCUGGCCCAAUAUUGACGCUGAGGCUCGAAAGCGUGGGGAGCAAACAGGAUUAGAUACCCUGGUAGUCCACGCCGUAAACGAUGGAUACUAGUUGCUGGAGGAGUCAAUCCCUUCGGUGACGAAGCUAACGCAUUAAGUAUCCCGCCUGGGGAGUACGCUCGCAAGGGUGAAACUCAAAGGAAUUGACGGGGGCCCGCACAAGCGGUGGAGCAUGUGCUUUAAUUCGAUGCAACGCGAAGAACCUUACCUGGGUUUGACAUGGGAGUGAAAGUAACCAGAGAUGGAUGCCUUUCCUUCGGGAACACUCUACACAGGUGCUGCAUGGUUGUCGUCAGCUCGUGUCGUGAGAUGUUGGGUUAAGUCCCGCAACGAGCGCAACCCCUGUCCUUAGUUGCCAUCAGGUAAUGCUGGGAACUCUAAGGAGACUGCCUGGUUUAACCAGGAGGAAGGUGGGGAUGACGUCAAAUCCUCAUGGCCCUUACACCCAGGGCUAGACACGUGCUACAAUGGCCGGUACAGUGGGAUGCAAACUCGUGAGAGUAAGCUAAUCCCUUAAAACCGGUCUCAGUUCGGAUUGGAGUCUGCAACUCGACUCCAUGAAGGUGGAAUCGCUAGUAAUCGCGGAUCAGCAUGCCGCGGUGAAUACGUUCCCGGGCCUUGUACACACCGCCCGUCAAGCCAUGAAAGACGGUAGUGCCCGAAGUCGUUCCUCUAACCGCAAGGAAGAGUGCGCCGAAGGUAAGACUGUUAAUUGGGGCUAAGUCGCAACAAGGUA
This 1523-nucleotide ribosomal RNA is filed under the name metagenome. RNAcentral's name for it is "bacterial SSU rRNA". It matches the Rfam family "Bacterial small subunit ribosomal RNA". The record is from RNAcentral.